Molecule: long non-coding RNA, 1804 nt
Organism: Chrysemys picta bellii (western painted turtle)
Lineage: Eukaryota; Metazoa; Chordata; Testudines; Emydidae
Source: Ensembl
GUCUCAUUUGUUAUUGGGUGUAAAGUGAUCUGAGGGCCUUGGACCCGAUCUUCUAGCCAAGGCCCUGCUCCUGCGCUGUGACCUGCCUGGGCGGAAUCAGGCAUUGAAAGCAGAAGGGUUCCAAGCGAUGCUGAAGUCCGCCCGUGUGAAUCAUGGUGGAGGAGUGGGGCCUUAAUGCAAACCGUGGUUAUUGUAGCUGAAGUGACUGAUUUUGCUGGAAGAGCAUUCAACUCUCCAUCUCCAGGGAAUGGCUGGCCAGUUCUCUCCCAUUGGCAACCCUUUCAUUGACCUAAGCGAAGGAGAGGUGUGAAAGGCAGGAAUAUUCACAGACACAUACCCUGUGUGGUAGUGCGGCAUUCUGUGUAUCUUAGUAGUGGCUUUGCCUGGCCUCUGACUUUAAGGUUGAUCGUUGGCUGUGGCCACGGAGCCUAGUAAUGGUGGGUGUUAUUGAUGCUCGUGGUGUAGCAUCCAUUACUUCUGCUACAAUCCCUUUGGGGAAAUUUCUCAAGCAAAAAAGUAUAAUAUAUGGAGAUGGCACACUGAUAAAAAUAACCCUGGCAUCUCUCUCCAUCUGUUCCAGGGUUAUUGUCCUGUCAAUCUGUGGUCCCUGAAGUGUCAUCUGGCUGAGCGAGCACACAGCUGUUGUUCUGAAAAGCCCCAUGAAGUUAACGGGAUUGUCAGUGCAGCAGAGAGACGCAAGCCCGGGGCUGUUCGUUUCUUGCUAUGCAGUGAGAUCGCUGGGCAGAUUCCAGCGAAGUGUUUGCAAAGGAAGGAGCAGACGAGCGGAUGCAGGGUAGCUGAAAGUAAAGCUCUGUCCUCCGACACUGCCACUAAUUCUCUGGGGAUGUUUGACUCAGAGGAUGAAAACAGGCAAACCAGAGAGAUUGCAGUUCAUUCAGCCAGCGGGAUUACAGUUCAUUCAGCGGUGAACCUGGGGGCGUUGUUCAUCAGAGAAGCAUUUCAGCUCUUGGCAGUUUGCUGCCCUAUUUCUGCUUUAUACAUGUGUGACUGUCACAUGAUGUUACAUAACUGAUCACGUUACAUCACGAUCCGUCAGCCCCACAUGCAGGAAGAGACAAAGUGUCCUGGAGAACUAAUGCUGGGGAGGUGAUUUCUCUGCUCAAGGGUUGCUGGCCACCAAGCGAGCCAGAACCCCAAACUCCAGCCACUCGCUGCCCUGCUCUCCCCCCGCCAUCUGAGACCCAGCGCCCUGUGUAAACAAACCUGGACAUUUCCAAGUGAUUUGCCUCCAUUUUACAGCCAGGUCACAGAGAGACCAAGUGCCUUGUGCAGGGUCAUCCCCAGGGAGGCAGAGCCAGAAGUGGAACCUGGCUUUCCGGCCUCUGCUCCUCUUACAUAACGGCUUCCCCGCCCAGCGCUGCAUUUCACACAGGGCUUGGGGAAGGGAGCCUGGGUACAAGACGCUCUGAAAGGGAACCAAGAUGCAGCAGGACAGGAGGGCGGGUUCCUCACUCUCUCAGUGCCGUGACUGAACCUCGACUUAAAGGGGAGACAGCACCGGGAGCCUCACGCUCUGUAACCCCCUCACGGCUGGGCCAGACCCCUAACUGCAAAGUUUUUCUGUUCAUUGAAGGCACUUACACACACACCCCUCACCAAAGUGCCUGAGCACUGCACAGUCUUUACUGUAUUUACACACACACACACACACACACACACACACACACACACANNNNNNNNNNNNNNNNNNNNNNNNNNNNNNNNNNNNNNNNNNNNNNNNNNNNNNNNNNNNNNNUUAUACACACACACACACACACACACACACACACACACACCAUGAGAG